Molecule: ribosomal RNA, 478 nt
Filed under: uncultured bacterium
Lineage: Bacteria
Description: partial 16S ribosomal RNA
Rfam family: Bacterial small subunit ribosomal RNA
Source: RNAcentral
GACGAACGCUGGCGGCGUGCCUAACACAUGCGAGUCGAGCGGAGCUAGUAGCAAUAUUAGUUUAGCGGCGGACGGGUGAGUAACGCGUGGGCAACCUGCCUUCUACAGAGGGAUAACACAGGGAAACUUGUGCUAAUACCGCAUAACAUACUUAAGGGACCUCCCUUGGGUAUCAAAGGAGCAAUCCGGUAGAAGAUGGGCCCGCGUCCGAUUAGCUAGUUGGAGGUGUAACGGACCACCAAGGCGACGAUCGGUAGCCGAACUGAGAGGUUGAUCGGCCACAUUGGGGCUAAGACACGGCCCAGACUCCUACGGGAGGCAGCAGUGGGGAAUAUUGCGCAAUGGGGGAAACCCUGACGCAGCAACGCCGCGUGAAGGAUGAAGGUCUUCGGAUUGUAAACUUCUUUAGUCGGGGACGAAGAAAUGACGGUACCCGAAGAAUAAGCCACGGCUAACUACGUGCCAGCAGCCGCCGCCG